Molecule: long non-coding RNA, 2000 nt
Organism: Brachypodium distachyon (stiff brome)
Lineage: Eukaryota; Viridiplantae; Streptophyta; Magnoliopsida; Poales; Poaceae
Exons: 2
Source: RefSeq, a predicted model, not a curated record
GGAAAAAAAAACUGGAGAUAGGUUGGGCAUCUGGAUUUCUGGCUUUCUGGGCAAACAAAGAUAAGGAAGCAAAUUACCUUUUUUUUGUCCCUCACAUCAGAGUGCAUGAAGCAACCAGCUUUAAAGCCAUGACACCAGUAUCACUUUGCAUACAAGUAAAAAAAGAAGAAGAAGGGCCCUAGCUAGUCGUCGUGUUGCCCAUAGCAGUGGCAAAUAAAAAGUGAAGCAUAUGCAUAAUGCAUUGCCUUUUCAUUUCGCUCACCACUUUCUUAUUCCCUUUGAGCAGGAUAAGCUCAUCAGGAUGCUGCUGCUAAUCAGGUAAAAGAGCAUGGGAUUUGUUCUAAUGACAAAUGUGGAGCUGCUAACCACACGCUUUUAAGGUUUUCUUUUCCGUUGGCCUGAUUCACGGUGGAUUGGUUUACGCAGAAAGCGCGUUGAGGCGUCGGGAUCCGGAAUAACUUGUUCAGUGGCUCGAGGAAGAGAGCCUGAUGCUUCUAGAAAUACUUUUUUUUUCUUUAUCGUUUGAAUUGCCUCUGAAAUUACAAAGGGUUUAAGAUAAUUUAGUUUCCAUUGCCAGUCCCCAUUUUUCCACUUAUAGUCUCAAAUGAUACUAAUUAGUUGUUUGAAGGUGUUUAACUUUUGUGAAAUGUCAGUACAUGUUUGAGGCUUUUAGUUUGUCAGUACAUGUCAGUACAUGUUUGAGGCUUUUAGUUUGUAAGUUAUAUACUCCCUCCGUCCAGAAAAGGAUGUCUCAAAUUUAUUUAAAUUUGAAUGUACCUAGACAUUAAAACAUGUCUAAAUACAUCCAUAUUUUAAAAAAUUUGCGACAUCCUUUUUAGGACGGAGGUAUUACAUACAAAAUAACUUUGAAGACGAGGCCAAUUCAUAGUUGAUCCCACGGUUCAAAAACAUGAGUGGUACUUGCUUUUCGUACAUUAUUUAUUUAUUUAUUUAUGACUAGACAAACUUAGUUUGUAUAUAACCAUACAAAAUUCUACCCUAAUCAGGUUCUAACCCUCAAAAUAAGAGCUCUUUUACGGUACCCCGGAUUUAAUAUAAGCCGUUCAUUUGUUCAAAUCCACCGGUUAGUAUUAUUUGGUACUCCAUCCUUAAGUUAGGGAGUACCAGGUCAAAAACCACCGGAAUACCACAAGCUGAGGACAAAGUCGUAAUUGUCUAAGGUAUUUUAGUUUUUCCCCGUGCUCAACUCGAUUAAAAAAAAAUGCUUCGUGCUCCAUGGAGCGGACGAGGUCAUCGCGCCAUUGGAGCAGUUGAAGGCACUUCUCUGGCAGCAGAGGGCCGAGGCCGUUUCGCCAGCAGGGCCCCGAUUGAGCGGACGACGACGGCGCUCGAAGGGCCGCUGCGCCAGAGGGGACGAGGCAGUUGCGCCGGCGGGAUGGACAAGGCUGCCGCGUUCGAUGGGGCUCGCCGUGCCGCCAUAUUAGGGGGCGGAGGGGACGUCCGGCGAGCCAACGCUAGCGAUGGCGCCCUCGAGCGCGCGGAGAAUAGGCGGCCCAGGCGGCAGUCGGUGGUCCGGACGGCGACGACGACCGUCGAUCGAUCUGUCUGGGGGCGGCGGCGCGACUCAAUUGGAACUGCCGUGAGCACUUUCAGCGCCUGGAAAAGACAUAUUUCGGCCGGCAAUCCGACGGCGAGCAGACAGCGACGACGAGGUUGAUCAUGAUAUCGGGGGAAGCGCUGAUGCUCGAUGGAGAGAACUGGGGUACUGCGCUGCGGCUCGAUUGGCGCUUUCCAGCGCUCCAGACGGCGAGCGGACGGUGAGAGCGGGCUGGCGGCGGCUGCCCGGCGGCACAGCUGCUCGAUGGAGAUGCGAUAUCCAGAGCGCACCCGACGCGACCAAGAUGACAUGAGAUGAAAAAUUAACAAAUGACUAAGUUACCCUUCGUUACUAGCGGUCAGAUAUGGUUGGUACUCCAAGGUAUGUUUUUGGAGCACCGGAGUACUGUAAAAGUCGUCCAAAAUAAAGUUGAAAUUCGUUA